Molecule: ribosomal RNA, 506 nt
Filed under: uncultured bacterium
Lineage: Bacteria
Description: partial 16S ribosomal RNA
Rfam family: Bacterial small subunit ribosomal RNA
Source: RNAcentral
AGUGAACGCUGGCGGUAGGCCUAACACAUGCAAGUCGAACGGCAGCACAGAGGAGCUUGCUCCUUGGGUGGCGAGUGGCGGACGGGUGAGGAAUACAUCGGAAUCUACUCUGUCGUGGGGGAUAACGUAGGGAAACUUACGCUAAUACCGCAUACGACCUGCGGGUGAAAGCAGGGGACAUUCGGGCCUUGCGCGAUUGAAUGAGCCGAUGUCGGAUUAGCUAGUUGGCGGGGUAAAGGCCCACCAAGGCGACGAUCCGUAGCUGGUCUGAGAGGAUGAUCAGCCACACUGGAACUGAGACACGGUCCAGACUCCUACGGGAGGCAGCAGUGGGGAAUAUUGGACAAUGGGCGCAAGCCUGAUCCAGCCAUACCGCGUGGGUGAAGAAGGCCUUCGGGUUGUAAAGCCCUUUUGUUGGGAAAGAAAUCCAGCUGGCUAAUACCCGGUUGGGAUGACGGUACCCAAAGAAUAAGCACCGGCUAACUUCGUGCCAGCAGCCGCCGUAA